UACGGGGGGGGCAAGCGUUGUUCGGAAUUACUGGGCGUAAAGGGCUCGUAGGCGGCCAACUAAGUCAGACGUGAAAUCCCCGGGCUCAACCUGGGAACUGCGUCUGAUACUGGAUGGCUUGAAUUCGGGAGAGGGAUGCAGAAUUCCAGGUGUAGCGGUGAAAUGCGUAGAUAUCUGGAGGAAUACCGGUGGCGAAGGCGGCAUCCUGGACCGACAUUGACGCUGAGGAGCGAAAGCUAGGGGAGCAAACGGG
RNAcentral lists this ribosomal RNA (253 nucleotides) under uncultured bacterium. RNAcentral describes it as "partial 16S ribosomal RNA". It matches the Rfam family "Bacterial small subunit ribosomal RNA", at positions 524 to 776 of the family's 1533-position model. The record is from RNAcentral.